Molecule: ribosomal RNA, 253 nt
Filed under: uncultured bacterium
Lineage: Bacteria
Description: partial 16S ribosomal RNA
Rfam family: Bacterial small subunit ribosomal RNA
Source: RNAcentral
UACGUAGGGGGCAAGCGUUGUCCGGAAUCAUUGGGCGUAAAGAGCUCGUAGGCGGCCACUCAAGUCGAAUGUGAAACCUCGAGGCUCAACCUCGAGACGCCGGUUGAAACCAUCAGGCUAGAGUCCGGAAGAGGAGAGUGGAAUUCCCGGUGUAGCGGUGAAAUGCGCAGAUAUCAGGAAGAACACCGGUGGCGAAGGCGGGUCUCUGGGCCACUACUGACGCUGAGGAGCGAAAGCGUGGGGAGCGAACAGG